UCAGCAGCACAUAGAGUAUACUAAAAUUGAAACAAUACAGAGAAGAUUAGCAUGGGUACCUGUGCAANGAUGACGUACACAUUCAUGAAGUAUUCCUUUUUUAU
Molecule: small nuclear RNA, 104 nt
Filed under: Salvator merianae (Argentine black and white tegu)
Lineage: Eukaryota; Metazoa; Chordata; Lepidosauria; Squamata; Teiidae
Source: RNAcentral